GGACGGUUAGCUCAGCGGUAGAGCAUUGCAUUCACAUUGCAGGGGUCGCAGGUUCGAAUCCUGUACCGUCCA
This 72-nucleotide transfer RNA is filed under the name Patescibacteria group bacterium. RNAcentral's name for it is "tRNA-Val". It matches the Rfam family "tRNA". From Rfam's summary of the family: Transfer RNA (tRNA) molecules are approximately 80 nucleotides in length. Their secondary structure includes four short double-helical elements and three loops (D, anti-codon, and T loops). Further hydrogen bonds mediate the characteristic L-shaped molecular structure. tRNAs have two regions of fundamental functional importance: the anti-codon, which is responsible for specific mRNA codon recognition, and the 3' end, to which the tRNAs corresponding amino acid is attached (by aminoacyl-tRNA synthetases). tRNAs cope with the degeneracy of the genetic code in two manners: having more than one tRNA (with a specific anti-codon) for a particular amino acid; and 'wobble' base-pairing, i.e. permitting non-standard base-pairing at the 3rd anti-codon position. The record is from RNAcentral.